CGUCACAUGACUGCAACUAGGAAACGGGGCUUUGAGAGCUAUCAGUAGAUAUUUCUUAAACGCGAUAACAGAAAGUACUAUCUUUUAUGUUACUCCCUUGCUCGUUGAAAGUGGUCCCGACACGAUAAGAAGCAACAUGUUACAGCACUUGGAUCGGGAUGAUUUUCACAGACCACUACCACAACAACCCUGUCAUGGUGUGUUUCUGCCAUCUUCUCCUGGAGAGACAACAGAGGACCACAGAGGCAGAAUCGUACUCCACGUUCCACAACACACCUUCGCCAGAUUCAGCCCGUGGAAGCAGGGCCAGGCGGUGAUGGAUGCUCCUCUACACCCUGAUGAAGAACCCACGACUGAUCCUCCUGAGGAAGAACAGGACCUCCUCCAGUCCCACUCACCAGGACACUGUUGUCCAAGCCUGGCUGCUGGCCUCUCAGACCGAACAGAUGGGACAGGCACCAGAGACGACAGCCACAGCCGUUACAUCAGAUCAGACGACGGCCAAUGGGCAGGCAUUAACUGACUGAUUCUGCUCAUGGCUUAUACAUGCGCAGCCUGAAAUAGUGUAGUACAAUAAUGUGACAUAACAUUUAGUAGGCCUACACACAUUUCGAGGACACCUUUUUGGCUCAUGGGUGCUACAUUUGAUACUACAGGCCAAGCUCUUACAAUGCAUUGUUUUGUAUGUGAUGAAUCAUGGGAAAUGGGGAUAACAACUGAAAUGUGUCUUCUGCAUUUAACCCAACCCCUCUGAAUCAGAGAGGUGCCGGGGGCUGGCUUAAUUGACAUCUACAUCUUUGGCACCCAGAGAACAGUGGGUUAACUGCCUUGCUUAGGGGCAGAACAACAGAUUCUUACCUUGUCAGCUCGGGGAUUCUAUCCAGCAAACUUUUGGUUACUGGGCCAAUGUUCUAACCAUUAGGCUAAUAUGAUUAAUGCAUUAUAAAUUCGGAAAUACCUACAUAAUUACUCCUACUGGGAAAAAUGAUAGGACAAAUUGGACAUAGUUAUGCUUUUUACCUCAUAACGGUCCAUUUGUUUUUACUAGGCCACGUAGCCACAGGAAGUAGAGGUGCUGAGGGUGUUGCAGCACUCUAAAAAAUCUGAAUAAAAAAUAUACAGUACCAGUCAAAAGUUUGGACACACCUACUCCAACCUCGGCCAACAGCUCCGCCCCCCCGGCAGCUCCUCGCCCAAGCCUCUCCAGGUUCUCCUUUACCCAAAUCCAGAUAGCAGAUGUUCUGAAAGAGCUGCAAAACCUGGACCCGUACAAAUCAGCUGGGCUUGACAAUCUGGACCCCCUAUUUCUGAAACUUUGCGCCGCCAUUGUCGCAACCCCUAUUACCAGCCUGUUCAACCUCUCUUUCAAAUCGUCUGAGAUCCCCAAGGAUUGGAAAGCUGCCGCAGUCAUCCCCCUCUUCAAAGGGGGAGACACCCUGGACCCAAACUGUUACAGAUCUA
Molecule: long non-coding RNA, 1461 nt
Organism: Oncorhynchus tshawytscha (Chinook salmon)
Lineage: Eukaryota; Metazoa; Chordata; Actinopteri; Salmoniformes; Salmonidae
Source: Ensembl